This 918-nucleotide ribosomal RNA is filed under the name uncultured archaeon. RNAcentral describes it as "bacterial SSU rRNA". It matches the Rfam family "Archaeal small subunit ribosomal RNA", at positions 1 to 923 of the family's 1478-position model. The record is from RNAcentral.
UUCCGGUUGAUCCUGCCGGAGGUCACUGCUAUUGGGAUUCGACUAAGCCAUGCGAGUCGAGAGGGUUCGGCCCUCGGCAGACGGCUCAGUAACACGUGGAUAAUCUGCCCUUAGGUGGAGGAUAACCUCGGGAAACUGAGAAUAAUACUCCAUAGAUCUAGGAUGCUGGAAUGCAUCUAGGUUGAAAGUUCCGGCGCCUAAGGAUGAGUCUGCGGACUAUCAGGCUGUAGUCAGGGUAAAGACCUGACUAACCUACGACGGAUACGGGUUGUGAGAGCAAUAACCCGGAGACGAUAUCUGAGACACGAUAUCGGGCCCUACGGGGCGCAGCAGGCGCGAAACCUUCACGCUGUGCGAAAGCGCGAUGAGGGGAUCCCAAGUGCUUGCACGUAAGUGUAAGCUGUUUCUGUGUCUAAAAAGCAUAGAGAGUAAGGGCUGGGUAAGACGGGUGCCAGCCGCCGCGGUAAUACCUGCAGCUCAAGUGGUGACCGCUAUUAUUGGGCCUAAAACGUCCGUAGCCGGUUUAGUAAAUGCCUGGGUAAAUCGUGUAGCUUAACUAUACGAAUUCCGGGUAGACUGCUAAACUUGAGACCGGGAGAGGCUAGAGGUACUUCUGGGGUAGAGGUGAAAUUCUGUAAUCCUAGGGGGACCACCAGUGGCGAAGGCGUCUAGCUAGAACGGGUCUGACGGUGAGGGACGAAGCCCUGGGGCGCAAACCGGAUUAGAUACCCGGGUAGUCCAGGGUGUAAACGCUGCUCGCUUGAUGUCAGUUGGGCUCCGAGCCCAACUAGUGUCGGAGAGAAGUUGUUAAGCGAGCUGCCUGGGAAGUACGGCCGCAAGACUGAAACUUAAAGGAAUUGGCGGGGGAGCACAGCAACGGGUGGGAGCGUGCGGGUUUAAUUGGAUUCAACGCCCGGA